This 255-nucleotide ribosomal RNA is filed under the name uncultured bacterium. RNAcentral describes it as "partial 16S ribosomal RNA". It matches the Rfam family "Bacterial small subunit ribosomal RNA", at positions 99 to 354 of the family's 1533-position model. The record is from RNAcentral.
CGGACGGGUGAGUAACGCGUGGGUAACCUGCCCCAUACAGGGGGAUAACAGCCGGAAACGGCUGCUAAUACCGCAUGCACAUGCGGAGGCGCAUGCCUCUGUAUGGAAAGCUUUGGCGGUAUGGGAUGGGCCCGCGUCUGAUUAGGCAGUUGGCGGGGUAACGGCCCACCAAACCGACGAUCAGUAGCCGGCCUGAGAGGGCGACCGGCCACAUUGGGACUGAGACACGGCCCAAACUCCUACGGAAGGCAGCAG